RNAcentral lists this ribosomal RNA (497 nucleotides) under uncultured bacterium. RNAcentral describes it as "partial 16S ribosomal RNA". It matches the Rfam family "Bacterial small subunit ribosomal RNA", at positions 28 to 507 of the family's 1533-position model. The record is from RNAcentral.
GACGAACGCUGGCGGCGUGCCUAAUACAUGCAAGUUGAGCGCUGAAGGUUGGUACUUGUACCAACUGGAUGAGCAGCGAACGGGUGAGUAACGCGUGGGGAAUCUGCCUUUGAGCGGGGGACAACAUUUGGAAACGAAUGCUAAUACCGCAUAAAAACUUUAAACACAAGUUUUAAGUUUGAAAGAUGCAAUUGCAUCACUCAAAGAUGAUCCCGCGUUGUAUUAGCUAGUUGGUGAGGUAAAGGCUCACCAAGGCGAUGAUACAUAGCCGACCUGAGAGGGUGAUCGGCCACAUUGGGACUGAGACACGGCCCAAACUCCUACGGGAGGCAGCAGUAGGGAAUCUUCGGCAAUGGACGAAAGUCUGACCGAGCAACGCCGCGUGAGUGAAGAAGGUUUUCGGUUCGUAAAACUCUGUUGGUAGAGAAGAACGUUGGUGAGAGUGGAAAGCUCAUCAAGUGACGGUAACUACCCAGAAAGGGACGGCUAACUACGUG